UCCUUGGCAUGCCUCGGUCCUUCAUCUAGGAGUUCUGUGCCUUGGCCAUGCGAUGCCAUCCCUUGCCCCACAUGCCGGCCUUGGUAUGCCUUGGUCCGUCCAUGGAGGAAGGCACGUCCGUGGCGCGUUGAAGCAGUGGUCGAAGGGAAUGCGCGUUCUUCAGCGUUGUAUGGCUCAACGUGUGGUUUCUCGUCUGUGGGGUCCCCUAUGACUACUUGGUCCAGGCAAAUGUACUCUUGCAACAGGUUUGAGAGGCUGUUUACCAAACAAGGCGUCAUCACAAGGAAAAGGCCUGCAAAGGAUUAUGGCACCAAAAAAAGGAAAAAUGCCCAUUUGAAAAAGCACGUGGCUGCACGAGAGGCACAAGCAGAGGGUUUUCUGAAUACAAAAAACAUCACAAGUGCCAGCACUGUGUCUCGGCAACAUUGACAGACGCUUUGGUGUGCAUAUCUGGGUCCCACCUCAAAAGCUGAUGUCAAUCAAGGACUUCACUUGGCAAGGAGGCACCACUGUUGACAAUGGGACUAGCUAUGAGCUUCCCAUCUGGCCUUUUACAUGCCUGACGAAUGAACGGCAGGAGUUCGUAAACCAUGUGGCCCCCGGCUGCAUCGGAUGUCCAUGGUGUACAAGCUUUGAGCACCCCUCCGAGCAGGUGCUGUUUCGUUAGAUAUACAAACACGAGUUUUCCUGGAAAAGACAAUAAAUGUGAUCACAAAAAAAAAGGAUUUAACAGACAAGUAAUUGCACACACACAUAAGAACCAGCAAGCUAGGCACAGCAGAGACUUGGAAGCAAUAGUGUUUUUAGAGAAUGGUGACUUUUUCAGUGACAUUGCCAAUUUAGCCUGCUUCAGCAAGUUGUCUGAAUAAACUUGUUGAAGCAAAUAGCCCGCUGUUUAGU
Molecule: long non-coding RNA, 900 nt
Organism: Dermacentor andersoni
Lineage: Eukaryota; Metazoa; Arthropoda; Arachnida; Ixodida; Ixodidae
Source: RefSeq, a predicted model, not a curated record